AGAGUUUGAUCCUGGCUCAGAAUGAACGCUGGCGGCGUGCCUAACACAUGCAAGUCGAACGAGAAAGCGGGCUUCGGCCCGUGAGUAAAGUGGCAGACGGGUGAGUAACACGUGGGUAACCUGCCCUGAGGUGGGGGAUAACCCUCCGAAAGGAGGGCUAAUACCGCAUAACAUCUCGAGUUCCUCGGGACACGAGAUCAAAGUUAGCCUCUACAUGUAAGCUGACGCCAUUGGAGGGGCCCGCGUCCCAUUAGCUUGUUGGUGAGGUAACGGCUCACCAAGGCCGCGAUGGGUAGCCGGCCUGAGAGGGUGAUCGGCCACACUGGAACUGAGACACGGUCCAGACUCCUACGGGAGGCAGCAGUGAGGAAUUUUGCGCAAUGGGCGAAAGCCUGACGCAGCGACGCCGCGUGGAGGACGAAGGCCUUCGGGUCGUAAACUCCUGUCAAGUGGGACGAAUCCUGAGAGGAUGAAUAAGCCUCUCAGUUGACGGUACCACUGGAGGAAGCCCCGGCUAACUCCGUGCCAGCAGCCGCGGUAAUACGGAGGGGGCCAGCGUUGUUCGGAAUUAUUGGGCGUAAAGGGCGCGUAAGCGGUUGUGCAAGUCGGUGGUGAAAGCCCUCCGCUCAACUGAGGAAUUGCCCCCGAAACUGCAC
Molecule: ribosomal RNA, 656 nt
Filed under: uncultured bacterium
Lineage: Bacteria
Description: bacterial SSU rRNA
Rfam family: Bacterial small subunit ribosomal RNA
Source: RNAcentral